Rhopalosiphum padi (bird cherry-oat aphid) is the source of this 1737-nucleotide long non-coding RNA. RefSeq lists it as uncharacterized. The record is from RefSeq and is a predicted model, not a curated record. The transcript has 3 exons. Lineage: Eukaryota; Metazoa; Arthropoda; Insecta; Hemiptera; Aphididae.
UUUGCAAACCUAUUAAUGAAUUCUUCUAUAUUUACAGUAAUGUCUUUAUGUCUGUGUAAUAUGUAAAGUUAUUUAUAACAGAUAACACAAAUUUAUGUUUGUUUCUGUGUUUGAUUAUGGCUAUUAUCACAACUAUUAUUUAUUAUAUCAUGAAACAUGCUAUCUAUACAAAGGUAUACUUAAUACCUACAUCAAAAAUAUUAAAUAAAUGGUUAGUAAAAAAAAAAACCAAGGGGGAAGUAACCGCUACGUCACUCUCUCCAUAAAUCCACCCUUACCAUAUCUCAUACAUAUAUGAAUAACUUAUAUAAGUUGCAAAGUUAUUUUCUACUUGAUUGACUAUAUACUUAUACACCCUUACUUAACUAAUUUCCUAAAUACAAAACUCUUUGUUUGUUAAAAUGUUAAAUAUAAGACGACCAGACGUUAAUACAUUCAUGUUGGUCCGUAGCUUGACCAAUGGUUCAGGGAGGGGAGAAAACAGAUUUGUAAAGGAUAAAUAGUAAAUAAUAGAAGAAAAAAUAAUAUUAGGCCAUUUUUAAUUUAAUUUUACAUAUCAGGUACAAUUAAUAUUUGACUUGUGAUUUAACAAUAAUAUAUUAUUAAUAAAAGUAAAGCUCUAUGAUUAGGUUUCACAAAGUAAUUUUUUUAAUUAUUUAUAUUAAUGUCACAAGUGAAAUGCUAGGGUGGGCUACGGUUGUGUCUAAGAAAGGCAGGCAAUGUCCACGUUUUCUCCCCUCCCCAAACAUGAUUAGGGCUAUUACGGGUAUACAUUCACUCCUUAUUAUUUAUUUAUACUUUAUAUUAGGUGGUGUUACGUUAAAUGAAGUAUUAAAUGCAUUACCACAAUCCACUGGUCCAAAUUUUGCCGGUAAGAAAGUUAUUUUACGUGGUAAUAGCCAAUAGGCGAUUAUAAUUAGGUUUUAUUAUUGUUAUGGAGGUUAAGUAUUGCUUUGUCGUCGAAAAUAUUUUACGUUAUUAUUAUAUUGGGCACUAUGUGGACAUAUGGACAUUAGAUGGUCAAUCCACGGUCCGUAUGUUGUGGACUACAGUGCCGACGUUUACAUAUAACCACCACCCGAGGAGAUAGUACGGCAUAGAGAAGGUUUCGUGUAUUUAUAAUAAUAUUUUUUAAUUACCUAAUUUAUUAUAUAAUAUUGUUAAUAAUUGUUUCAUGUUUAUUAUAUAAAAAAUAUGUAUGCAACAGUUAUAGAAAAAUAUUUAUAGGUGGUGCAGUUGAAUAUUGUAUUUAUCUACAAUUACUUAACACACAAGCCGAAAUCGUCAAUUUAACUUCAGUACCAGAUGAAAAAAUUCAAAAGUUUGAAAAAUCUUCUUUCAAAUGUUAAGGAUAUUAUGAAUGCAAAAGUUUUGCGUUUAGUUAUUAGCGUAUUUUUCACUAAUUUCAUUGAAACAGAAGGCAGUACGAAUAAAGUAGUUGAACCUCAUAUUAGAUACAAUACCUUCAAAAAUAUUUUACUAAUAUUGUAAAUUCUUAUAUUAAAUAAUAUCAUAUAUUUGUACUUAAUUUAUUAAAAAAAAAAUAUUGUAUUCAGAAUUCUUUUAUGGUUAUUGAUUGUUUCAUUAUGGUCUAAUAAUCUAAUAAAUGGCAAUAUAAAAAUAAUAAAUAUUUAAUAUUAUUAUAUUCAAAAAAAUAAUGUAAGAAUCUUUAAAAGUGUUGUUACAACUAUUAAUUAUUAUUAUAUUAUGCUAAAUGUCUUAUUAAAUUGAGUAACA